RNAcentral lists this ribosomal RNA (292 nucleotides) under uncultured bacterium. RNAcentral describes it as "partial 16S ribosomal RNA". It matches the Rfam family "Bacterial small subunit ribosomal RNA", at positions 505 to 796 of the family's 1533-position model. The record is from RNAcentral.
GUUUCAGCAGCCGCGGUAAGACGAACCGUGCGAACGUUGUUCGGAUUCACUGGGCUUAAAGGGCGCGUAGGCGGGUGACCCAGUCCGGGGUGAAAUCUUUCGGCUCAACCGGAAAACAGCCUUGGAUACUGGUCGCCUGGAGGGAGGUAGGGGCACGCGGAACUUCCGGUGGGGCGGUGAAAUGCGUAGAGAUCGGAAGGAACGCCGGUGGCGAAAGCGGCGUGCUGGACCUCUUCUGACGCUGAGGCGCGAAAGCCAGGGGAGCAAACGGGAUUAGAUACCCUCGUAGUCC